This is a long non-coding RNA of Carassius auratus (goldfish), 742 nucleotides long. RefSeq lists it as uncharacterized. The record is from RefSeq and is a predicted model, not a curated record. Lineage: Eukaryota; Metazoa; Chordata; Actinopteri; Cypriniformes; Cyprinidae. The transcript is spliced from 4 exons.
UUUCUUUCCUGGUGUAAAAUCCUGUAAAUGUUAAACUUGUAAAUAGUUAAAUAUAAAAUACUUGCGUUCGCUGAUUAUUUAAUUGGAUAUGAAUUGAACAUAUUUGGCAACUUUAGAAGAUGAGCACGUGAUCGGUGGGGGAGGGGAGCAACGGUUAGCGUCUGAUACCAGAGAAAAGUCUCUGUGAAUAAAACGGAUAUUAUCUCAAAUAUAAUCUCGAUUACAGAUUGCAGAUAACGAGGAUAUGAAGAACAUGAAGAUGGACUGGUUUCACAUGCAGAUGUUGCAGCAUCUGCAUCUGAGGUUGAGAAAACACUCAAUCUACCUGCCAAUCCUCAUCUGAUUUUGCUAGGUUAGUGUGUCAUUGCACAUGAUGAAGAAGAAACAUUUACUGAUGGCUGAGAUAUAAAAUUGUUAACAUUGCUGUUGUGCACAAUUUUUAAAAUUGCUUCUUUUUUUUCUUUUUUUCUUUGUGAGUGUCCAGUCAACAUUUUUGACUGCAGUUGCAAGUGUUUGCUGUGCACUACAUCUUCAACCUGCAGUAUCAAGAGGCGGCUUGUUGCACGUUAGAGUUUUUUCAAAGAUGAUUCUAUGGAAUAAACCCAGAAAGAGGCUCAAAGACCUGCCGAGGCAAGGUAGUCUCCAAGAAGACGGGGAAGGUGGUGAAUAAGAAGUCCACUACAGUCAAUCCAAAGGUUGCCACUCUACAAAAAAAUCAAAUGGACUUCAAAUGGGACUUCAU